UUGCGUUCGUGAUAAAAGCGGCAUCCUUUCCUUGCUUCCUUUAAGCAAGGAAAGAUAUAGCGGAUAGCGCGAUAAAAC
RNAcentral lists this small RNA (78 nucleotides) under Flavobacterium degerlachei. RNAcentral describes it as "Flavo-1 RNA". It matches the Rfam family "Flavo-1 RNA". The record is from RNAcentral. Lineage: Bacteria; Pseudomonadati; Bacteroidota; Flavobacteriia; Flavobacteriales; Flavobacteriaceae.